Molecule: long non-coding RNA, 313 nt
Filed under: Salvia miltiorrhiza (redroot sage)
Lineage: Eukaryota; Viridiplantae; Streptophyta; Magnoliopsida; Lamiales; Lamiaceae
Description: long non-coding RNA (SMIL_LNC009325)
Source: RNAcentral
CUAAAUAAACUCUUGGCGAUACAUGUCUUCAUACAUGUAUCACGUUCUAUUUCCGCUGCGAACACUCAGUUAUGAUGCAUAUUAUCCUAUUAUGUUGGAUUGUCAAAUCAAGUUAUUGUAUAAACACUUAAAUCGGAUACUCUUGACCGAUUACUCGCUCUUAUCUAUUUAUGUGUGUUUUUUUUUAUAUGAUGUCUCAAUCUUAGUUCAAUUCCUUUAUUAUUAUUUAUCACCCCUUUUCUGUCCCCUCUCCUAAUUUCCCUUCCCUAGUCACGGUUUCCCGGCUUACCUAUCCUUAGUUAAGACCGAUCGU